Ictalurus punctatus (channel catfish) is the source of this 1284-nucleotide long non-coding RNA. Lineage: Eukaryota; Metazoa; Chordata; Actinopteri; Siluriformes; Ictaluridae. The record is from Ensembl.
GAAAAAAAUCAAUGGGCAUGUACACACACGCACAGAAGGUUGCACAACCGGCUCUUUAUUAAACACACAUCAUGGCUCAGCCGUAGCAAAAAUCACAUUCAAGAAACACAGAAAGUCAGAACGUCAGCAUAAAACCCGUCACAAACCCGCUCGGCUGCAAAAGUCACACGACGCUAGAAAAAAGCCACCGAUUGCGAAACAGCGUGUGCAGAUCGACUCGGGUCCUUAGAAAAGGAAUGUACGAGUAGCACAGAACGAACGAAGCGGUCACCCACUGAAGCGCCUGAAUGAGCUGAAAGUUCUGCGUUUGUUUAUAUCUACACUGUAAACUUCGAAGUGUGCUUCUGUACAAGACGCUGCGUUCAAAUACAGUCGUGCGUCAUCGUGUUCACGAGAAAGAUUCGCAAGGCGUAGUGUCCAAAACUUCUCAACACAAAAUGUACUGCAGCAAAGAGCUGUCCCAGGUUUUUAAAACAAUAAAUAAAAUGGCGGCUCACAUUAGUCCUGUUAGCGGUUGAUGCUAAGUGUAAUUACAGUGUCAAUUUAACCAUCCGGAGUCUUUUUCUAAACAUUUACCAACACAUCUGAGGUAAAAGUUGAUGUUCCAACUGUCACUGUCUACUUUUUAGCUAGCUAAGUCACUAGCUAGCAUAUAUUCCGUGUCCCGUAACAUACUGUUCUGUUUUACCUCAUGAAAUGUAUUCAUUCGUUUUUACACGAUCUGCUCCUGUGUUUCAAUACUGUUUGUCCACUUCCCCAUCUGACCUGAAAGCCCACGACACGUCUAUUACACAUCAGGAAACGUAGCUGAAUUGAUUCUCCUCAGAAAUACCUCGCUAAGUCGCUAGCGUAGCAAGUAACUACUUUGCUAACUCGUACAAUAUUAUUUAGAAAUGUUUUUAAAGUGACCAAAGACAUUCGUACAUAGUGUAGUUACAUCAGUUUAUUGACUAGCUAGCUGAACAAUUAGCAUACUAACUAGCUUGUGUGCUAAUUACGGACAUUUCCUAGCACUGUUCUAGUAAAUAAUUAAGUGUGUAAGUAUAUAGUGUGGGAGUUUUUGGGAUGGAGCCCAAAGGGAAGUGGACGAGGAGCGUGUGUUAAAAACAGUAUUAUAACACAGUCUUUGCGCUACUCGUGUGUUUGUAGAAACACUGAAUAAACAGGUCGUAAGGACGUCGCUAGCGUCUGCGUCAGCGCGCGGUUGUUUAUCGUCCUUCUGACACAGAGAGAAAAUACAGUAUAUAUAUUUAUUCUCAUAUAUAUGUACACUUUCUGUUCAGU